Diceros bicornis minor is the source of this 1827-nucleotide long non-coding RNA. RefSeq lists it as uncharacterized. The transcript is spliced from 4 exons. NCBI's taxonomy places the organism in Eukaryota, Metazoa, Chordata, Mammalia, Perissodactyla, Rhinocerotidae. The record is from RefSeq and is a predicted model, not a curated record.
UCUGGCCGCCAGUAGCGGAGCGUAAGCACUUAACCGCUAAGCCACACACUGGCCCUGGAUUAGUUUCAUUUGAGGGCUUGCUCGUCCAGUGCCUCACCUGCAACUCCCUCUAGAUCAAGUGAGUUUACCUUUAGUAUUUCAUUUCCUUCCUGUUGCUCAGGACUUGGGGGGGGGGGUUUAUUUCCCCCUCUCCAAAAUCUUGAUUUGAAAGCACAGGUCAUUUAUUUUUCUUUCAAUUAAAGCUCUUAAGUCUUGAAAUUUCCCUCUGAGGACAACCUGAGAAGCCAGGGACAGGAAUUCACCAGAGUCCCAGCAGCACUGGCCUGCGGAAUGCCCCAAUGCAGGAGAUGUGGGGGGACUCCCUCGCGGCCGGGUGCUAGGCCACAGGCACCAUGCUGAGCAAUAAUUAUGCCUGACACUUAAAAGCAAUUUUAAUUCUCCAUAUUGCUUCAUACCUUUCUCAUUUCUAAAAUCUUCAUUCUGUACUCAGUGGUUCAGAGGGAUUUUUAUUUAGUGCUUUCUCCCUUAAAAUAACUGUUGGGUUCUUUUUAUUCUACUCCACCCCCUCUAUCACCACUCCAUUUCCAAUUUAUUUAUUUCCCAUUUAAUCUUGAUCAUGUAUUUAGUUCCUCCUCUUAUCCUUGUGGCAUCAGGAUGCUUUCUCAAAAUCUUGCAUUGAAUGCUCACUCAAAAAUGUUAACUCUUACUGUUUUAGGCUGUAGAGCCUGUCUAGGUUUGGAUGUCAGGAACUCGGCCAGUUCUGACGGUGCUGAGAGCCCAGUGGAUCCGCAGCACAGCUCUCCCUGCUGUAGCAGCCCUUCAGGCCGACACAGGUUCUGCAGUUACCACAAAGCACCUACUGGGUGCUAUGCAGUGAAUGCGAUGGGCCACAAGCCUGGAAGCCAGUGGGUAAGCUGUCUCCCUCACGGUGCUCAGAGUUUCCUAGUGAACCCUGACUGACUGACCAGAGCAGCACUGCCCAGUGGAACUUUCUCUGUCGGAGGAAAUGUUCUAGAUCUGCACUGUCCAACAUAGUAGCCAUUAGCUGCAGGUGACCAGUGAACAUUUGAAAGAUGGCCAGUGUGACUGGGGAGUUGAACUGAUAAGGUGAUCAUCAAGAUAAUCCAGACUCUUGUAGCACAUGGGGAAGGGAGAAGAGUCUGAGCUCUGAGCGAGGGUGGAUCACAGACAGCCUCCAGAUGAUUGUCUCCAAGAGGAAUGCAGGAAGUCCACAAAAGGCUGGAGAAACCAUUAAGGCAGGUUUGGAAUAAUCUAGUUCAUACGUUUGCAUCCUGUAUUCUAUAGGGUAUGCUUGGUUGUAAAUACCUGAAAAUCCAACUAAUGUAAAUAACAAGCACUGUUUCCUCACAGAACUGAAGGUCUGUAAGUAUGUGGUUCCUGGUACUGGUUUAAGCUGCCCACCAGUGUCACCCUCGGUGUGGGAGUGUCUCACCCUUCGGCCACCAAGACGUAGACAAGGGACAAGCCAGCCCCACACUUACUGCUGGUCUCAAAUACAACCCAUUUCAACGCUUCUCUCUGCCUUAGGAAGUCGACCUUUUCCUCUCUGAUAAAAAUCGUCACCCAGGGGCCGGCCCUGUGGCUUAGCAGUUAAGUGUGCGCGCUCUGCUGCUGGCGGCCCGGGUUCGGAUCCCGGGUGCGCACCGACACACCGCUUCUCCAGCCAUGCUGAGGCCGCGUCCCACAUACAGCAACUAGAAGGAUGUGCAGCUAUGACAUACAACUAUCUACUGGGGCUUUAGGGGAAAAAACAGAGGAGGAUUGGGAAUAGAUGUUAGCUCAGAGCCGGUCUUCCUGAGCAAAAAG